CCUCCUUUCUUCCGCCGUUUUUACUAUUGCCCCCUGGGGGCCCCCCUGAUGCAGCGACGCCGCGUGAGUGAAGAAGUAUUUCGGUACGUAAAGCUCUAUCAGCAGGGAAGAAAAUGACGGUACCUGACUAAGAAGCCCCGGCUAACUACGUGCCAGCAGCCGCGGUAAUACGUAGGGGGCAAGCGUUAUCCGGAUUUACUGGGUGUAAAGGGAGCGUAGACGGCAGCGCAAGUCUGGAGUGAAAUCCCAUGGCUUAACCAUGGAACUGCUUUGGAAACUGUGCAGCUAGAGUGCAGGAGAGGUAAGCGGAAUUCCUAGUGUAGCGGUGAAAUGCGUAGAUAUUAGGAGGAACACCAGUGGCGAAGGCGGCUUACUGGACUGUAACUGACGUUGAGGCUCGAAAGCGUGGGGAGCAAACAGGAUUAGAUACCCCGGUAGUC
Molecule: ribosomal RNA, 440 nt
Filed under: uncultured bacterium
Lineage: Bacteria
Description: partial 16S ribosomal RNA
Rfam family: Bacterial small subunit ribosomal RNA
Source: RNAcentral